UUCCUCUGACAUCAGCCAAUCAGUCAUGUUUAGAGUGGGCAUUCCCUGGUGUAAGGUCCGCCCCCCACUGACCAUACAAGGUAACAGUGGAAUGCAUGGCUUGGCAGUCCGUCUGCUUCAUAAGAGAGACACAGAGAGCAGAGGGUGUCCCACACUGAUGAGCAGUCCUAUUACCGUCUGAUUUGAACUUCAGCUUAUUGUGAAAACACUGAAGCUUCAGAAGGGUGCCGGUGGGCAAACCUGCUCCUCAACUCAUCAUUAUUGCAAGAUCAGCCUUUUAGCAGACAGCCAAUUCAUUUCACCCAGGAAAACCAAGUAACCUGCCAGGGGAGAUGACAAGCCUUGAGAAAGCUCAUCAGUCCAGCAGCGAAGCAGUCAAGCAGCCUGCCAGCUGCUGCAGAUGUUCCCAGCAGCACCUCAGCUGCCCUGCAGCAGAGGACUCAAUAAGAACACUGCUGUGUGUAUUCACGCUCCGAGACAGAUGAAGGAGAAGGACAAUCUCGAGGUGUGCAAGAAACAGACCAGGUGUUGCGGUUGAGAUAAUGGAGAUCAAAGAUGGAGCUCCAACAGAUUGCACUUGGGGUAAGAGACAACAACUUCAAGACUCUGCAGAGCGUUUUACAACCCUUUUUAUUCGGGUUUCAGAAAAACACAUUUGAUAUGAAUCUAGAAAAGUUCCCAGACAGGCUUGGUAUCUUUCAGAACAACAUGGUUUCUGCUGAGAUUACAGGAAACUAUUUCCACCACUGCCUCCCUCUUUGAAGUCCAGAGCUUUAGCUUUAGACGUUGACCAUAACUCUGGGCAAUAUAGUUACAGAUAACACAAUAAGGAAAUACAGGGGCUCCACAUGAACUGACAAACUAACAUCAAAUUGAUAACUACAUAAAAUAGGUUGUUUUUCGAUGCAGUCAAGUGCAUUACGUUUACCUCGCUGUAUUGAUGCAAUGUAUGAGUCCUAACUGUGUUAAGUGCAAAAAACACAUUACCUCCAUUACAGAUUCAGUGCUCCUUGUCAGAGACUUUCCGGGUCUCUGGAACUCUACUGCAGGGAAGAAAAAGAAAUGCCAUCAUUUAGUGGUUUUAUGGUGGUGGAGAGUGCUGUCUAACAUAUUAUUUUCAUAAUCAAACCAUUCAUUGAGCCCUUGAGAAACUGAAUGGAAGCAACUGGAUUCAUUAGGUUUCGUCACAAUUUUGUUCAGGGUUUCCUUUAAAUGUCUCUUGUCUUCACGUCUGCAAUUACAAUGAAAUGAAAUAUUUGCUAAUAUUUGGUAUAUCUGUGGGUUAGUAUUUAAAUGAAUCAGUGAAAGCAGUGAAACAAAUCCCUCCACGCCACCAUCAGUAUGAAGAGUGUGUGAAUGAGGUCAAUUGUAAAGUGCUCUGUCUGUUAAGGUAAAAACGUGUGUGUGCGUGUGUGUGUGUGUGUGUGUGUGUGUGUGUGUGUGUGUGUGUGUGUGUGUGUGUGUGUGUGUGUGUGUGUGUGUGUGUGUGUGUGUGUGCGUGCACAUGCAGGUAAUCAGAUGUCUGAUGUUGCAAUGUCUUUCUUUCAACCAAGUAUGUGUGUUGUAUUUCAGAUGUCAGAGAUGAGCAAGUACAGAGGUGAGUAACACAUACACGCACACGCGCACACGCACACACACACACACACACACACACGCACACACACACACGUUCGGAAUGUGAGAGGGAGCAGCAGUAUGACAGGAAGUUGGUAUUAUGUAGGUCUACUGGGGGUUAAAACCAUUUCCUGUUUACCCCUCCCCAACAAAAAUGUUUGUGCUGUGCACUCCAUCCCUCUCUCUCUCUCUCUCUCUCUCUCUCUCACACACACACACGCACACACACUUAUUCACAUGCUAUUUUUCUCUCGCGCUGCUUUCACUGAUGUUUCAGACAUGUGAGUAGAAAGACGUUGUUAAACUGUGUCUUAGCUGUAAUUGAAGACUGAAGUCUUUCUUCAUUUGGUCAUUGUGCAUGCUUUUUUUUUUUUUUUUUAAAGAAACAGAAAUACAACAAACCUGAUUUUACCUAUGCGCUCAUACAAACAUUAUACUGAUGGAGACACAUGCCAGUUCAUACAGUAAGCGAUUACUAAUUAUGUCAUGGGUUCAUAAACCCAAUCCAUUUUCACCAGUAUUGCCAGUAUCUAUUAAUCCGUAGAUUUAGCGAACAAGUCAUUCUCCCCAUACUUUGAACAGCAUUGUGCAUGUUUUAUUCAGCUUUCAUGAAUUCUUUCCACGUUUCCUCCUCUGUCUUUAGAAUAGACCCCUGUCCGCCAUGAUGCUGAGAGAAAUGUGUUUAUUCUGAUGUCAUCAUGUCUCAUCAUCAUGCGGCAAAUAUCACUUGCAUCACUCUGAUGCUAGCUUUAACAGGGAAUGGAGCUCAUUCUGAUUCCUAUCAGCUAGUGUUGGCUCAGUGUGUGUGGUUUCCUUUUGUAUAAUAUUUCUUUGUCAACUGUAAAGAUUGUAAAGUUUGUAUGAUGUAACGUUUAAUCAGAAUAGAAAUCUAUGCAGAAGAUGCAAUAACAGGUUUGGUAAAAACUAAUUUCUCAAUACUGAGUUCAUUUUAUUUAUUUAUUUUUUACAACUCUUCACACAGACAGCACAAAAGAACUUGCAAAAUGCAGCCUCUGACCACGUCUUUUAAUAUUCAUGAGGUUUUCUCACUCAAAGUCAAACACCUCCAAACCUUUAUUUACUGCACAUUUUGCACAUGUUUACAUUCUGUUGUAAAAACUGUUAAAUGUACAAUCCAUUCAAUAAAGAAGUGCCCUUCUUUUUGUUUACAUGGAAACACCGUUUGUGCCAAAUAGAUGCAUAAACAAGAGAUACUUCAAAGACAAUAGCGAUUCGUAUUUUAAUGCUACCAGCUGUUAGUGUUGUUUCAGAUCAUCGUUCGACACUCUGUUACUGUUACGAGUCAAAUGUUGUCAGCGUUCUGGGACAAGAGUUGAUCCUGAGAUGUGUACAAAGUGUUAUGGUUGCAUUAGUGCAUUUUGGAUGUUAGAUUAACUGCAUGUUGGUAAAGAGAACUGUGUGAACUCAUUACAGAGAGAAAUGUGUUAACGUUAGUAAAGAAAAACCACAACCUAUAAGAUGGUUUCUAAACUGACUGACUGUGCUCUGUUUGCCUCAUCCCUGUGUUUUUCUCCAGUUGAGUUAUUCAUCCCUGUGGCCCAUGGUGCAGUGCUGCAUCUCUGGUCAGUUGGUAGUCUGAGAUGAAGCACUGUAGCUCGGGACGGAGGACAGAAAUACCAGUGGGAGCAUAUGUCCACAGCCAGGUAACAGCACCCAGCAGCAGCAGGUCUCCGCGGCUCUGGUUUGCUUCAGACAGGGAGGAUGAUAUGACCCAGGAUGCAUCACUGCAAUCACAAACACCUUGUGGUUCACGGUCAGGAGUUUAGAGGAGACUGGACCAUCCCCCAAAGUUUGCUCAUUUUUGAAGUUUAUAGGGAAGUUGUUUCUGUUAACAUCAAUUUUAUCUAGGGGACAUAAAAAAAAAAAAAGUUUGAAAAUGUCACACCUUUGCUUGAUAAUAAAAUAUUUUGUUAUUGUAUUUCUAACUAAUUUUAUAAAUGACUUAAUGUAAGAAGGUCUCACUCAUUUCUAUUAAGAUCUAGUAUCAAAUGUAACAUUAAAAAUGUGAGAUUAAUGAAGUUGACCACAUGUUGUAAAUUAUUUGACGUGUGUCCACCAAAUUCCAUGAUGGCACCAUCGGCAGAAAAAAAAUAAAAGACGUUUUCAAAUCUUCUAAUACGGGAGGUAUGGAAACCACAGCUCGACUUCUGCACGUGAGGAAUGGGAUCCCUCGUUCCAUUGGUGUGAUGAUGGAUGGAUGACAUCACCCGUUUUUCUUCUCCUCUCUCCUGGGGUCCAGUUUUCCCAGGAAUCCCUUGACCUAUCAGAAAGGGGGAUUCCUGGAAAUACUGUUCUUGGGGGUGGGGCUUAUCAGCUAUUCCAUUUAUAGUAUGUACCAUCAUUCUGUGUGGUGUGUGCAAUAAUGGUGUACGUUUUUAUAGAAUUAGUUUUGACUGUAUUUAGUGUUUAAACACGAGAGAAACCCGUUAUUCACUAUCGUUUCAAUCCCGUUCAAAGUCACGUCAUGUUCCUGUUUAUGACAUUUGAAGAUUCUGAUUACUGCUCAUUCUGUUUAAUAAACAUUCAAAACAAAGAA
Perca fluviatilis (European perch) is the source of this 4171-nucleotide long non-coding RNA. RefSeq lists it as uncharacterized. The transcript is spliced from 3 exons. The record is from RefSeq and is a predicted model, not a curated record. Lineage: Eukaryota; Metazoa; Chordata; Actinopteri; Perciformes; Percidae.